UUCCCUGAACCGAAACAUAAGGUCGUGACCGUUGGGUCCGGAUCAACCCCGAAAUACCCCAAACCAUCAUCCGUUUCUCAACUGGACUCCCCUACCUAUUAUCUCGAUUGUUGGAUCUAAAUCGAAGGGUCCAAAACAUUCCCCUCUAACCCACCAACCUAUUUAAGCAUCAUAACCCUAGACUAGUCCCCAGAAAUGUGAUUGUCCCAUCUGCAAUGCCGCCACCACUCUUCUCUCUCCAUCGG
This 245-nucleotide long non-coding RNA is filed under the name Hordeum vulgare. Its description in RNAcentral is "long non-coding RNA (HVUL_LNC009976)". The record is from RNAcentral. Lineage: Eukaryota; Viridiplantae; Streptophyta; Magnoliopsida; Poales; Poaceae.